CUAACCUCCACCCGUGAAUACCUGACCAACGUUGCUUCGGCGGUGCGCCCCCCCGGGGGUAGCCGCCGGAGACCACACCGAACCUCCUGUCUUUAGUGUUGUCUGAGCUUGAUAGCAAACCUAUUAAAACUUUCAACAAUGGAUCUCUUGGUUCCGGCAUCGAUGAAGAACGCAGCGAACUGCGAUAAGUAAUGUGAAUUGCAGAAUUCAGUGAAUCAUCGAGUCUUUGAACGCACAUUGCGCCCCCUGGCAUUCCGGGGGGCAUGCCUGUCCGAGCGUCAUUGCUGCCCUUCAAGCCCGGCUUGUGUGUUGGGUCGUCGUCCCCCCCGGGGGACGGGCCCGAAAGGCAGCGGCGGCACCGCGUCCGGUCCUCGAGCGUAUGGGGCUUUGUCACCCGCUCGAUUAGGGCCGGCCGGGCGCCAGCCGGCGUCUCCAACCUUCUAUUUUACCAGGUUGACCUCGGAUCAGGUAGGGAUACCCGCUGAACUUAAGCAUAUC
This 498-nucleotide ribosomal RNA is filed under the name Aspergillus calidoustus. RNAcentral describes it as "eukaryotic LSU rRNA". The stretch from base 128 to 281 matches the Rfam family "5.8S ribosomal RNA". Lineage: Eukaryota; Fungi; Ascomycota; Eurotiomycetes; Eurotiales; Aspergillaceae. The record is from RNAcentral.